Molecule: long non-coding RNA, 428 nt
Organism: Cottoperca gobio
Lineage: Eukaryota; Metazoa; Chordata; Actinopteri; Perciformes; Bovichtidae
Exons: 3
Source: RefSeq, a predicted model, not a curated record
CAGCACCAGGCAUGACUCAACAAGUCACAUGGAGAGUAAAGUCGUGACACGAGAGACCGUCAGAUUCCGUGUGGUACUGGAGCAGAAAUAAAAGUUUUCGGAUGUCACUGGAGUUCUCUUUCAGAGAUAGAAAGGGGUCAUCAAGCAGACGUCGGCAGUCGGGCUGAGAGAGAUCAAAGAGGCCAUCAACAUCAGAUGCCACAGGCGGGGUUAUGAUCUGCCUUCAUAUAUGACCACAUAAAUCUCCAUGACAACUGAGAGCUGUGGCAGAAGGCUACAGAGAUAGUUAAGAUGACUUUUAUACGACGCUUUGAAAUGAACAGUUUGUUACUGAAUGAUGACAAAAUAGAAAUAGAUUAUUUUAUUAGGUGAUGUUUGUGUAUCAUUCGACUUCUACAAUGAAGUAUUUGUGAAACUUAAAAUGUACA